RNAcentral lists this ribosomal RNA (274 nucleotides) under uncultured bacterium. RNAcentral's name for it is "partial 16S ribosomal RNA". It matches the Rfam family "Bacterial small subunit ribosomal RNA", at positions 523 to 796 of the family's 1533-position model. The record is from RNAcentral.
AUACGGAGGGUGCAAGCGUUACUCGGAAUCACUGGGCGUAAAGCGCGCGCAGGCGGCUAUUUAAGUUGGAUGUGGAAGCCUACGGCUCAACCGUAGAACUGCAUCCAAAACUAUUUAGCUAGAGUGUGGGAGAGGAAGAUGGAAUUAGUUGUGUAGGGGUAAAAUCCGUAGAGAUAACUAGGAAUACCAAAAGCGAAGGCAAUCUUCUGGAACACUACUGACGCUGAGGCGCGAAAGCGUGGGGAGCAAACAGGAUUAGAUACCCUAGUAGUCC